AGCGAACGCUGGCGGCAGGCCUAACACAUGCAAGUCGAACGAACCUUUCGGGGUUAGUGGCGGACGGGUGAGUAACACGUGGGAACGUGCCUUUAGGUUCGGAAUAACUCAGGGAAACUUGUGCUAAUACCGAAUGUGCCCUUCGGGGGAAAGAUUUAUCGCCUUUAGAGCGGCCCGCGUCUGAUUAGCUAGUUGGUUGAGGUAAUGGCUCACCAAGGCGACGAUCAGUAGCUGGUCUGAGAGGAUGAUCAGCCACAUUGGGACUGAGACACGGCCCAAACUCCUACGGGAGGCAGCAGUGGGGAAUCUUGCGCAAUGGGCGAAAGCCUGACGCAGCCAUGCCGCGUGAAUGAUGAAGGUCUUAGGAUUGUAAAAUUCUUUCACCGGGGACGAUAAUGACGGUACCCGGAGAAGAAGCCCCUGCUAACUUCGUG
This 434-nucleotide ribosomal RNA is filed under the name uncultured bacterium. RNAcentral describes it as "partial 16S ribosomal RNA". It matches the Rfam family "Bacterial small subunit ribosomal RNA", at positions 29 to 507 of the family's 1533-position model. The record is from RNAcentral.